AUUUAACUCUGGCGGUAGGCCUAACACAUGCAAGUCGAACGGCAGCACAGUAAGAGCUUGCUCUUACGGGUGGCGAGUGGCGGACGGGUGAGGAAUACAUCGGAAUCUACUUUUUCGUGGGGGAUAACGUAGGGAAACUUACGCUAAUACCGCAUACGACCUACGGGUGAAAGCAGGGGAUCUUAGGACCUUGCGCGAUUGAAUGAGCCGAUGUCGGAUUAGCUAGUUGGCGGGGUAAAGGCCCACCAAGGCGACGAUCCGUAGCUGGUCUGAGAGGAUGAUCAGCCACACUGGAACUGAGACACGGUCCAGACUCCUACGGGAGGCAGCAGUGGGGAAUAUUGGACAAUGGGCGCAAGCCUGAUCCAGCCAUACCGCGUGGGUGAAGAAGGCCUUCGGGUUGUAAAGCCCUUUUGUUGGGAAAGAAAAGCAGCAGGUUAAUACCCCGCUGUUCUGACGGUACCCAAAGAAUAAGCACCGGCUAACUUCGUG
Molecule: ribosomal RNA, 492 nt
Filed under: uncultured bacterium
Lineage: Bacteria
Description: partial 16S ribosomal RNA
Rfam family: Bacterial small subunit ribosomal RNA
Source: RNAcentral